RNAcentral lists this transfer RNA (87 nucleotides) under Polaribacter ponticola. Its description in RNAcentral is "Polaribacter sp. MSW5 tRNA-Ser". It matches the Rfam family "tRNA". From Rfam's summary of the family: Transfer RNA (tRNA) molecules are approximately 80 nucleotides in length. Their secondary structure includes four short double-helical elements and three loops (D, anti-codon, and T loops). Further hydrogen bonds mediate the characteristic L-shaped molecular structure. tRNAs have two regions of fundamental functional importance: the anti-codon, which is responsible for specific mRNA codon recognition, and the 3' end, to which the tRNAs corresponding amino acid is attached (by aminoacyl-tRNA synthetases). tRNAs cope with the degeneracy of the genetic code in two manners: having more than one tRNA (with a specific anti-codon) for a particular amino acid; and 'wobble' base-pairing, i.e. permitting non-standard base-pairing at the 3rd anti-codon position. Lineage: Bacteria; Pseudomonadati; Bacteroidota; Flavobacteriia; Flavobacteriales; Flavobacteriaceae. The record is from RNAcentral.
AGAAAGGUGUCUGAGUGGUCGAAAGAGCUACCCUGGAAAGGUAGUAUACUGGCAACGGUAUCGAGGGUUCGAAUCCCUUCCUCUCUG